RNAcentral lists this ribosomal RNA (435 nucleotides) under Streptococcus cristatus. Its description in RNAcentral is "bacterial SSU rRNA". It matches the Rfam family "Bacterial small subunit ribosomal RNA", at positions 28 to 455 of the family's 1533-position model. Lineage: Bacteria; Bacillati; Bacillota; Bacilli; Lactobacillales; Streptococcaceae. The record is from RNAcentral.
GACGAACGCUGGCGGCGUGCCUAAUACAUGCAAGUAGAACGCUGAAGGGAGAGCUUGCUCUUCUGGAUGAGUUGCGAACGGGUGAGUAACGCGUAGGUAACCUGCCUGGUAGCGGGGGAUAACUAUUGGAAACGAUAGCUAAUACCGCAUAACAUUGACUAUUGCAUGAUAGUCAAUUGAAAGGUGCAAAUGCACCACUACCAGAUGGACCUGCGUUGUAUUAGCUAGUUGGUGGGGUAACGGCUCACCAAGGCGACGAUACAUAGCCGACCUGAGAGGGUGAUCGGCCACACUGGGACUGAGACACGGCCCAGACUCCUACGGGAGGCAGCAGUAGGGAAUCUUCGGCAAUGGACGGAAGUCUGACCGAGCAACGCCGCGUGAGUGAAGGAGGUUUUCGGAUCGUAAAGCUCUGUUGUAAGAGAAGAACGAGUG